GAAUAUUUUUAUAUUUCCAUUUUAUAAUUUUGUAUCUUUAUUAAUUGGUUUGUGAUAUUUAUUAAUUGCAUUUUCCUAGUCUAUUCCAUCUGACAUGCAGUUUGACCCCAACUCCAAUCCACCAUGCUAUAGGACAGAAGAUGAGGAAGUAGUAAUUCAACAAGAUGAUGAAAUCAGGCUGAAAAUAGUUGGUACUCGAGUUGAUGCUACAGAUAUUUUUGCUAUUGGAACUUUAAUGGAUGAUUAUUUAGGUUUGAACUAACUACAUGCUCUUCUGUACAUUGUUUCCGAUUAAAAACAAUUGCAUCCAGUUUUUAUGUAUUCAUUGUAAAUAAAAAAUUCUUUUUUAAUUUCA
Stegodyphus dumicola is the source of this 355-nucleotide long non-coding RNA. NCBI's taxonomy places the organism in Eukaryota, Metazoa, Arthropoda, Arachnida, Araneae, Eresidae. The record is from RefSeq and is a predicted model, not a curated record.